ACGGGUGAGUAAUAUAUCGGAACGUGCCCAGUCGUGGGGGAUAACGCAGCGAAAGCUGUGCUAAUACCGCAUACGAUCUACGGAUGAAAGCAGGGGAUCGCAAGACCUUGCGCGGAUGGAGCGGCCGAUGUCAGAUUAGCUAGUUGGUGAGGUAAAGGCUCACCAAGGCGACGAUCUGUAGCUGGUCUGAGAGGACGACCAGCCACACUGGAACUGAGACACGGUCCAGACUCC
This 234-nucleotide ribosomal RNA is filed under the name uncultured bacterium. RNAcentral describes it as "partial 16S ribosomal RNA". It matches the Rfam family "Bacterial small subunit ribosomal RNA", at positions 102 to 339 of the family's 1533-position model. The record is from RNAcentral.